UAUCCUCAAUCUUGUUCUUGAAUUUCAUAUACUUGACUGCUCAAAACUUGACUUCCUUUUUUGGAGUGACGAUGAUGUCUCCGUUCAAACUUCAAUCUCCCAUUCUCUUUAAACCGUUGUCUAAGAGUGGAAUCAAUCACACAUUCAGGUGGCGGAAUUUGGUACCUCAAAGUAUCAUAACAAUAUGAAUAAUACAUGUAUUUUUCCCUAAAUCUUUUCAUGGCAAUAUGUUGUUUAGGUGUGAUAUUGUUGUAGCGAAGUGUUUCGAGUUGUUUGUCCAUUUGGGCACAGUUGUCUGUUAAAAGUUCCUGAAUUGGAUCCGAAAUACAACCAUGUAGAACGAGGUCAGUCAUCUCGGUCACGAAAGGGGCAUAUUUGUAAUUAACCUUAUAUUUUCCACCAUUGGUAGCCCAAGUUGAAGCAUCCCAUAUGGUGGCGUAUAAAGCCAUAGGUUUUGAAGGGAAAUCGCUUCCCAUUUCAUCGCUUUUUAAUAUCUCCCUUAUUGGAACCUCAUCGAUAUAGAAUCUGCACAUAUUCCAAAAAGACGAUUAUAAAAAAAUUAUUUUAUUGUUUAGCUAAAAACAUGAUUUAGAUAAUAGAUAUAUAUGUACUUGGUUAUUUAUCAAAUACACUUUUAAUGAUAAGACGUUAUUAUCACUUUAUAUUAAAUGGAAGCUAGCUAGCUAUAUAUAUAAUUGUCCAAAUGUUCACUGAAUUAGCGUUGAUGUAACUAUAACUUUAUCGCUGUCCUUUCUUUAUGACUCAAAUUUCUUCGAUUCCAAGUUUCAAAAUUUAACACGGAAUUGACCUUUUCAUGAUCAUAUUUUGACAUUUAUAUAUUCAAUAUAUGAAUUUGAAAAAACUUAUGAUUAAAGUUAAUAGUAAAGAUGAGAAAGAAGGUUAAUUACAUGAUUUUGGAAGAGGUCCAAAAGAUGGUAUAACGAUGGUAGGCUUUGGAAGGGUCAAACCACAAGGUGUAUCUUUCUUCUCUACCUCUGCUUGUGCUUCCAUUGCCGUAUAAAUUGGUUUGAAACCUCCAUGGCUUCCCUUUUAUAUUCCCUAAAAACUCGAAGUCAAGUUCAUCAUGCGUCUUCUCGAAUACAUCUCCAUUAGAAGUCUGCAUGUAUACCAAAAUUAUAUUAAAAUUUAUUAUAUAACCCAUAAACAAAUCAUACUGUCUGAAUUGUAUGAUUAAAGGGUGUAUUAGAUGAUCGAACACUCUACUCGAUCGAGUUCAAAAGUAAAUGAAAGUAAGAAAGUGAAGGGUUAAUCACGAUGAGUUACGUACAUAAAAUGCUACUACGAUUCCGGCUGUAUACUCAGAAGGUAGUUUGAUUCUAGCACUGAAUACUCCAUGGUUGUACAAGUCGGAAGAUCUAAACCCAGCACCUGAAAUCGUUUUUCAAAAGAUAUAGUUCAUACGAUAUACAAAUACUAUAUUGAGAGAGAGAGAGAGAGAGAGAGAGAGAGAGAGAGAGGAAGAAGAAUGGAUACCUGUGUAUUGGUUGAGGUGGAGAUGGACGGUGUUGUCAUCAUCGGAGCGGAGGAGAUUGGAGUCGCCACCAAAGAGUUGAGUGAAUCCUUUCUGGAAGGAAACUAUGUGUGGCAAAGGUGUGGUUGCGCCGCCGGAUAAGGGAUGGAGGAAGAGGAGGAGAAACGAUAUACAUACGGCGGGUUUAGAGAGAGAAUUGAGGAGUUGGUGUUUCAUUUUGAUGGAGUGUUU
This 1723-nucleotide long non-coding RNA is filed under the name Lactuca sativa (garden lettuce). RNAcentral describes it as "long non-coding RNA (LSAT_LNC003512)". The record is from RNAcentral. Lineage: Eukaryota; Viridiplantae; Streptophyta; Magnoliopsida; Asterales; Asteraceae.